UCGACGGGAUUGGGAGCUUGCUCCCAUGAGAGUGGCGCACGGGUGAGUAACGCGUAUGCAACCUACCUUUAACUGAGGGAUAGCCCAUAGAAAUGUGGAUUAAUACCUCAUAGUUCUUUUGUUCCGCAUGGAAUGAAAGAUAAAGCUCCGGCGGUUAAAGAUGGGCAUGCGUGACAUUAGUUUGUUGGUGAGGUAACGGCUCACCAAGACUACGAUGUCUAGGGGUUCUGAGAGGAUGAUCCCCCACACUGGUACUGAGACACGGACCAGACUCCUACGGGAGGCAGCAGUGAGGAAUAUUGGUCAAUGGGCGCAAGCCUGAACCAGCCAUCCCGCGUGAAGGAUGAAGGCCCUAUGGGUCGUAAACUUCUUUUAUACACCAAGAAAAAGCAGGACGUGUCCUGCCCCGACGGUAGUGUAUGAAUAAGCAUCGGCUAACUCCGUGCCAGCAGCCGCGGUAAUACGGAGGAUGCAAGCGUUAUCCGGAUUUAUUGGGUUUAAAGGGUGCGUAGGCGGCUUUUUAAGUCAGUGGUGAAAUCCUGUCGCUUAACGAUAGAAUUGCCAUUGAUACUGAAAAGCUUGAGUACAAUUGAGGUAAGCGGAAUGUGUAGUGUAGCGGUGAAAUGCUUAGAUAUUACACAGAACACCGAUUGCGAAGGCAGCUUACUAAACUGUCACUGACGCUGAUGCACGAAAGCGUGGGGAGCGAACAGGAUUAGAUACCCUGGUAGUCCACGCCGUAAACGAUGAUCACUCGCUGUAUGCGAUACACAGUAUGCGGCCAAGCGAAAGCAUUAAGUGAUCCACCUGGGGAGUACGAUCGCAAGGUUGAAACUCAAAGGAAUUGACGGGGGCCCGCACAAGCGGAGGAACAUGUGGUUUAA
This 884-nucleotide ribosomal RNA is filed under the name uncultured bacterium. RNAcentral's name for it is "bacterial SSU rRNA". It matches the Rfam family "Bacterial small subunit ribosomal RNA", at positions 62 to 949 of the family's 1533-position model. The record is from RNAcentral.